AGUUUCCAUUUGGUCCUUUACAGAGCAAGUUUGCCAACCUGUAUCUUAAUUCAUCUUUGUGGCCAGAGAAGUGGAUUUACUGAUUUGUUUCAGCUGAUCAAUGUCUAUAACAAGCAAUGUUGAUGGGCUGAAAACCACACAGACUACCAGAGGGGUUGCUUUUCCGAAGAAUCAUGUAAGGAUAAAAGAGAAAGAAAGAGAGAAAGACCUUGGAACCCAACUAGUAUCUACCAAAUAGACAGGAUCUCACUGUGUUGCCCAGGCUGGUCGCCAACUCCUGGCCUCAAGUGUUCCUCUGGCCCUGGCCUCCCAAAGCACUGGGAUUACAGUUCUCUUCAGGGAAUUUUGUCUGGUUCAAGAAGUCAUACCCCAACCCAAGAGAAGCCUUGGACAUCUCUCAUAAGACAUCCAAGGGACAGAGCUCCUGGGAGACCUAGAGUGAGCUGGAGAGUGAACAACAUACCCCACUGGGAAGUAAGCAGCCCUGGAUUCUGCCUCUUGCUAACUGAUUCGUUUCGAACCCUGUUUUUCUAUCUGUAAAAGGGACUGUAACUCCCCUGCCCCUGCCUAGAUUCUCAUACCUGGAGACUAGGGGGCUAAGACCCCUUCUAGAGAUAAAAAUAAAAGUCUUAAAGAGAAAGACCAA
Molecule: long non-coding RNA, 646 nt
Organism: Homo sapiens (human)
Lineage: Eukaryota; Metazoa; Chordata; Mammalia; Primates; Hominidae
Gene: CCL3-AS1
Product: CCL3 antisense RNA 1
Exons: 3
Source: RefSeq, marked validated